RNAcentral lists this ribosomal RNA (587 nucleotides) under Bacillus subtilis. RNAcentral describes it as "bacterial SSU rRNA". It matches the Rfam family "Bacterial small subunit ribosomal RNA", at positions 41 to 610 of the family's 1533-position model. Lineage: Bacteria; Bacillati; Bacillota; Bacilli; Caryophanales; Bacillaceae. The record is from RNAcentral.
GGGGCAGCCUAUACAUGCAAGUCGAGCGGACAGAUGGGAGCUUGCUCCCUGAUGUUAGCGGCGGACGGCUGAGUAACACGUGGGUAACCUGCCUGUAAGACUGGGAUAACUCCGGGAAACCGGGGCUAAUACCGGAUGGUUGUUUGAACCGCAUGGUUCAAACAUAAAAGGUGGCUUCGGCUACCACUUACAGAUGGACCCGCGGCGCAUUAGCUAGUUGGUGAGGUAACGGCUCACCAAGGCAACGAUGCGUAGCCGACCUGAGAGGGUGAUCGGCCACACUGGGACUGAGACACGGCCCAGACUCCUACGGGAGGCAGCAGUAGGGAAUCUUCCGCAAUGGACGAAAGUCUGACGGAGCAACGCCGCGUGAGUGAUGAAGGUUUUCGGAUCGUAAAGCUCUGUUGUUAGGGAAGAACAAGUACCGUUCGAAUAGGGCGGUACCUUGACGGUACCUAACCAGAAAGCCACGGCUAACUACGUGCCAGCAGCCGCGGUAAUACGUAGGUGGCAAGCGUUGUCCGGAAUUAUUGGGCGUAAAGGGCUCGCAGGCGGUUUCUUUAGUCUGAAGUUAAAGCCCCCGGCUC